Merluccius polli (Benguela hake) is the source of this 66-nucleotide non-coding RNA. NCBI's taxonomy places the organism in Eukaryota, Metazoa, Chordata, Actinopteri, Gadiformes, Merlucciidae. The record is from the annotation of a GenBank genome assembly.
UAUUCUAGUGGUGAGGGGAUGUUCCGACUCCCAGCCGAAAGGUUUUGGGUUCGAACCCCAAUGUCC